This is a non-coding RNA of Triticum urartu, 545 nucleotides long. The record is from RefSeq and is a predicted model, not a curated record. Lineage: Eukaryota; Viridiplantae; Streptophyta; Magnoliopsida; Poales; Poaceae.
CGACAACAUCCGCUCCGGCAGGGUGCUCAGCGAGGAGGAGCGCGCCGCCGAAAAUGUCUACAUACAGAAGAUGGAGAGGGAGAAGCUGGAAAAGUUGAGGAGGAAGAAGGCGGAUCAGGAAAAGGCCGACGCAGCAAAGAGUGCCAAAGGAAACAACGAGAAGGGUGAGGGAGCUCAUCCAAGCUGAUUCCUCAGAUCGAUCAGGUCCUCCGUUGGCGGCGCUGGUGUUACAUGUGAUACAUGUUCGCAAAUGUAGUAUUUUUUUCCUUCUGUUCUGGGGUUAUUUAUAGAUAGAUCAUGUAGAUGCUGUGUGCUGCUGUGAAAAUAUGUGCUUCUCGGUGGAGCUUUGGUAUGUUGUCCUUGGUGGAGGCAGGAGACUCUGCCGACCAGAAUCAUAUCUUGUCGCUGGAGUUUUCUGUUUACUUUUGAUUAGCAACCUGUGCAUGAGCCGCCGCCUGUGCGAGCCAUGCAUGCAUCUGCAGGGGCGUGAGAUGCACCCAUCUGCAUCAGGCUUUUUUCCUUUAUGUCUUGCAUCAGGCUCUUUU